AUUGAACGCUGGCGGCAUGCCUUACACAUGCAAGUCGAACGGCAGCACGGGUGCUUGCACCUGGUGGCGAGUGGCGAACGGGUGAGUAAUACAUCGGAACGUACCUUAUCGUGGGGGAUAACGCAGCGAAAGUUGCGCUAAUACCGCAUACGCCCUGAGGGGGGAAGCGGGGGACCGUAAGGCCUCGCGCGAUUAGAGCGGCCGAUGUCUGAUUAGCUUGUUGGUGAGGUAAAAGCUCACCAAGGCGAUGAUCAGUAGCUGGUCUGAGAGGACGAUCAGCCACACUGGGACUGAGACACGGCCCAGACUCCUACGGGAGGCAGCAGUGGGGAAUUUUGGACAGUGGGGGCAACCCUGAUCCAGCAAUGCCGCGUGAGUGAAGAAGGCCUUCGGGUUGUAAAGCUCUUUUGUCAGGGAAGAAACAGCAGCUCUAACACAGUCUGCGAAUGACGGUACCUGAAGAAUAAGCACCGGCUAACCACGUG
Molecule: ribosomal RNA, 485 nt
Filed under: uncultured bacterium
Lineage: Bacteria
Description: partial 16S ribosomal RNA
Rfam family: Bacterial small subunit ribosomal RNA
Source: RNAcentral